UCAUACCUGGAAAAAAAUCAGAUCAUUGUUAGAAGAGGUUUUCAUUAUUUGCAGUAGAGUUCCUCUCAUUGUAACAUUUCCUUUGUGCUGGAAGAGAGGUGGGCUCAGCCCUCAGGUCAGCAAGACUGGGAGAGUAGGGAAGAGUGGAGCUAAGUUAAAGUCUAAUUAUGGAUUUAGUUGUCUAAGGCUUUUCUAUCAAGUUGGCCUUGAGGUACAAAGACUGGCUCUUAAGGAUCUCAGAGGAGAGGCCAUCCCAACUGAUGGAGGCCAGGACAGGCUGGUUUGUCCUUGAAAAUGAAUCAGAUUAAAAAUGAAAGAUGGACAGCUGGGAGGGGUUCCAGCACAAACAAACCUCCCACCCCUGUCAGGAACCAGGGUGACCUUCAGUGCCUGCCCACCCAUCCUCAGCCAUAGUGGGUGCAGGGAUGGGACAUGAUUAGCCCACAAAGACAUAAAAUGUGGCUGUCUGGUGAAAACUGAGUCAGGAUUUGGCUGUCCAGGACUAACCAGGGCCAGUGAAACAUCUCAGGAGAAAAGCAGCAGGGGCAGUGGGGGGGUGAGAAUAACAAAUGUUAUUUUCAUUUAUUAUAUAUUCAAUAUAUAAGCUGGAGGGUGGAACUGAUGGAGAAGGUGAUCUGAAGAGCAGGCAGCCAAACAGUCAAUCUAAAGUCAAGAAUCCACUGGGUGAAAUAGAGGCAGGAGCAAUGGAGCAGUGGAGGCAGCAGGGCAGGCAGUGUGAGACAGCAGCUGACAGGUAGGGCAGGCAGGCAGGGUCCAACUGGUCAGAGGGAGGCAACUCCAAAGCACUAGCCUGUCAUUCCCCUGGUAUUUAUUCCCCUCCACUUCCCCUUUGAUUAAAUAAUUGCCUUUUCAUCCAAAAACCCCUUCUGUCUCUGCUGCUGGCAGCCUCACCAUUUAUUAUCCUACCCAGCCCUCCCUAAAGUCAUCCUUCCCAUCACUACCCACUCCCAGCCUCUCCAGCUCGCCCUGCACUCAAAUGUUCAUGCCCCAUCUCACCCCAAGCCAGCCCAGUGCUGCUAAAACUCAACAUGCUCCCGUGUUUUCACUGCUGUGCAGCUGGGACACCACUCACCACAUCCCCAACAGGCUGUGCAGAUGUGCCCCUGAACAAGGCACAUGUUCCUGCAGCUCCCACAAGUUCAGCUGGGAAAAAGCAACAGGCAUGCUUGAGUCCAGGGAAACGUGGGUACAGCACCAGAACUUCCUUAUCCCCACCCAUUACAGCAGAAAACUUCUGGCAAAAAGAAACAACAAAACCUAAAAGCAAUUACCUGUGGUAUUUGGGAUAACGUAUUCCCUGACAGCUGAAAAAUGUCACAAGCAGCUCUCUGAUCAUCUGUGACAGAAGAGCUGGCAACUGCUCCAGGUCACAGCCAACCUUUGCUGAACUCACCCUGGCCCCACAGAAAUUAACCCACUCUGGCCCCAAAUUCCUGCGCACUCAUCCUCACACCCUUCCCAGGAUGACCAGGGAGAUUGGAGAAGGGAACAGUUUGCACCCUGAAAAGGGCAAAGAAAUCCCAGAUCUGAGUAGAGUCCAGUAAAGAGUUUGGAAAAAAAAAGAAAGAAAAAAAAGCUCCCCAAAAUCUCACAAGUGUUUAAUAUUUCCUUCUCUGAGAUUUACCAAUUUUCAGCUGUCACACAAAAUUUGAAGACUCCAGAUAGAAGCAAGACCAUCAGAACGCUCCCAUGUGGCCUCACACUACCAUUGAGCAGGGACUGAACUAAUUAGGAAAGCUUGUUUGUUCUUGGUCAGGACAGUCCUGGAAAGAACAUCAUUUAGGAUUGUUGUUUGCUUUGGCCCCAUCAAUAAAAACAGAAUUGUUUUCAGAGUGAUUCACAACCAGCUUGUAAGUUUCUUGGAAAACAAGAAGGAAAAGAUAAGCAAAACUUUUCCUUCUGCCACAGCUGGCUCUUCAGGAGGAUAACCAAGGCAAAGGCAGGACAGAGAAAGAAAAAUUGAAACAAAUUGAAUUUUAAAAAAUAUUUAAAAAUUCCUGUUGGGGUUGUUCUUAGUUAAAGAUGUCAUGGCUCCUUUUCCAAUGUUCUUGAAAAUUCUCUAACCCCAGAUUUUCAACUGCUAGAAACCACUUAUUUUCCAUGUACUAUUUUCAAAAUUCAAAAAGAUGGAGAACAAAACCACCCAGUUCAGCCGUUUCAAGAGGAUUUUUUUGGGGCAGAACAGAACUCCAUGUUUGGGACAUUUGCCACAAGACUCUGUGUUUGGAACAUUUAGUUUGUAGCUCCUGGCAGCUCUGGGAGACACAAGGUGCUUCUCAGAACAAGAUAUUCCCAUUUCUCAGCUGUGUGAAGAUGUAACACCAUGAGCCCCUUCUGUUACUUUGCUCCAGCAUCUGGAGAAAGAGAGAGGGAAAAACCUGAUUUUUUAUAAUCAUGCACAGGCUCAACACAAAGGAGGAGCCAGGACAUACAUCAGGACCAGGGAAGAAAUAGUCUUUCAACUGAUGGGUUUCAUUGGAUAAGGAAUAAUUUAAAUCCUCAGCAACUGGAAAGUACAUUUUUUUAAUCCAAAGAGGUCUUAUGAGCAACAAAGGAGCCAUCAGUGACCAGCUCGAGAGUCCAAAUGCAGCCAGCUGCAGACCCUUCCCACUGGGUGCUUGUGUGAAGCACAGAGAUCCUGCCACUCCUCCUGACAAGUCCAGUUGCACCCUCCACGUGUCGUGGUCAUCUGUGGGUGAUGCUGCAGAAAACACCCCUGAAAGACCAGAGGGCCUGGGAGGUGCAAUAUUGCUGAGCUCCAAGGGACAGCAGCAAGAACUCUGCUGAAACUUCACCCCAAAUCUUCAUCACUCCCGGAAAGGCUGGACCAGCUGGAAAGAGCUCCCCAGGCAAGUGGAUGUUUAGAUUCAGAUUCAUCACCAAACCUGAUGCCAGAAUCCUCCCCUGGAAGAAGGAGCACGGAUGGCUUCUGUCUUUACUUGCAGUGCAUAACAAAUCUUGGUUAUACAGGUAAGCAAGCAUCUGGAUCUUGCAAUCACCUCCCACUCACCAAAAAGGUUAAGAGUACCAGAGAUACCAUGGUCCUUCCUGUCUUUCUUCAAUGGCCACAACAAUUUUCACUGCACAAGACUGAAAUGCUUCAGUACCACACUGAAGUCACUAGAUCUAAUCUAGCAGAGCAUCCAAAUGAAAGAAAAGCAACCACAGCCUAUACUCAAGAUACUUUUUUUCCCUUUAAAUUCUAAUUAUUUAUUUUUACUAAACUUUUACCAUACAGAAGUUAGACAUGUCUCCUUACUUAGUCUUCAGUGUUAAUUCUCCAAAUCCCUGUGUGAAUUUGUCUCAUCAACCACAUGGAAAGCCGUGACAACUAACUUGGACAAGAAACCUACAGUUUAUGCAGCUCAAAGCAGAGAUCUUGGAAAAUCAUGAAACCAUAGGAAGAAAAAAGAGGUCUCAAUUAUUUUAUGUUGAUACUUACCACUCCACUGUUUUCAGACCAAAGGAAACAGUGACAGCAAAGCUCUUAUGAGGAUAUCUAACCCAUGACACUGAGAUGACUCCCUUCACCAGCAUGGCACUGGCACAGCUGUGUCUCACUUCACUCUGCAGUAAGUGGAUUUUGUUACUGGUAUGAAUAACAGAUCCAAAUCUGGCUGUACCUUGAGUCUGGUUUGUCCAGCCAAAUGAAAAUAAGAAUGUAUUUUGCACUACAAUCAGAUGACAUAAGGCUGGCUUGCUUUUUAAAGAAAAAAAAACAACUCAACAGCAUCCUCCAAACAUGUGAGAGACAGAAGCCACAGUCAAGACUAUUAUUUUGCACUUUGAUCAAUGCAACAUUGCAAAUUCCCUACACCAACAAUUCUCUUUUAAACUGGUAUUGGGUGAGAUUAUUAGAACAAAACCAGAAAAUUAUGAUCACAGUUUAUGCUCCUAGCUUUUGCAAAUGAUAGGCUAAGGUUUAGCAGUGUAAUAAAAUAGAAUCAAUAAUCUUGCCACUUCUGCAAUAAUGAAAAACCACCAUAUAGAUUGUAUCCACAUUGCUUAGUCUAAAAAUAAACAUGUACAAAUUAAACAGGAUAUAUCAUAUAUAUACACAUGAUUCAUUUAUGAAAAGCAGUUAUUUGUGCUGAGAAUAGCAGAAGUCCUGGUUGGCGCUAAUAAAAUAAUUAAGAAGAAAGACAAAACAACAUAAGCUUAAUUAUUAUUAUUUUAACAUGUUAAAAAUACAGUCACAUCAAAAUAGGGUACACAGUUAUAAAACUGUUGCAGAUGAAAUAAGAAAAUAGUGUGUAUAUAUUUUAUAUAUAAAAAUCUACAGUAUUUACUAACGCUGAUACAUAUUUUGGAGCCUCAUGUCAUUUGCACAAAUAAAUUGUACAGCUUCGUUAUGAAUUACAGAAUCAUCAUUAAACACUGAGAUUAUUACACUUAGCCACAAUAUUAUAUACAUACAUUUCUAAGCUGCUGUAAGCAAUCAGAACUAAAGUAAGCCCAAGUCAUAUUUAUCUUCACAAUUUUAGUCUAGGAUUUCAGUGUAGUGCUUGGCUACAGUUAAUUUGCUGCAGUUUGCAAUUUUUAAAUAUAAAAUUGCCCAGUUAUUAAAAAUUACAUCAGACACGUUAUAUACACAAAAAAAAAGUUUUGAAACAUACUAAGUAAAUGUUACUUCCAUUUGUAAAAAUUGUUUUACUUCUGUACCUUAAAACUUACAGAGCCAACCUGCAGCAAUAAUAGGCACUAAAGCUCAUUCUUUAAAGGAAAAAAAAAAUAAUAUCCAUUUCUAUGUUUUCAGUUAACAAA
This is a long non-coding RNA of Prinia subflava (tawny-flanked prinia), 4785 nucleotides long. RefSeq lists it as uncharacterized. NCBI's taxonomy places the organism in Eukaryota, Metazoa, Chordata, Aves, Passeriformes, Cisticolidae. The record is from RefSeq and is a predicted model, not a curated record. The transcript is spliced from 3 exons.